This 504-nucleotide ribosomal RNA is filed under the name uncultured bacterium. Its description in RNAcentral is "bacterial SSU rRNA". It matches the Rfam family "Bacterial small subunit ribosomal RNA", at positions 26 to 518 of the family's 1533-position model. The record is from RNAcentral.
AGGACGAACGCUGGCGGCGUGCCUAACACAUGCAAGUCGAGCGGGGACAUACGACGGAGUCAAAGUUUCGGAUGGAGACGAAGAUGUAUGUUCUAGCGGCGGACGGGUGAGUAACGCGUGAGCAACCUGUCCCUUACAGGGGGAUAACACAGCGAAAGUUGUACUAAUACCGCAUGAGACCACGGGGAGACAUCUUCCAGGGGUCAAAGGAGCAAUCCGGUAAGGGGUGGGCUCGCGUCCGAUUAGAUAGUUGGUGAGGUAACGGCCCACCAAGUCGACGAUCGGUAGCCGACCUGAGAGGGUGAUCGGCCACAUUGGGACUGAGACACGGCCCAAACCCCUACGGGAGGCAGCAGUGGGGAAUAUUGGGCAAUGGGGGAAACCCUGACCCAGCAACGCCGCGUGAGGGAAGAAGGUUUUCGGAUCGUAAACCUCUGUCCUUGGUGAAGAGGAAGAGACGGUAGCCAAGGAGGAAGCCCCGGCUAACUACGUGCCAGCAGCAGC